This is a non-coding RNA of Dermacentor andersoni, 1099 nucleotides long. NCBI's taxonomy places the organism in Eukaryota, Metazoa, Arthropoda, Arachnida, Ixodida, Ixodidae. The record is from RefSeq and is a predicted model, not a curated record.
GACGAGACAUAGUGGACCUAGUGCCUGGGGGCGUAAGUACCGACGCAGCAGGUGUAGCCUAUCUGGGCAAAGCUUGCGGAAUAAAGAAAGUCGGCAUAGGAGAGGACAAUCCGGGUCACUUUUCGGGCGUAAACGUUGCUGCUCACGAAAUCGCACACUUACUGUCAUCCCCCCAUGACGGCGAAGGCACCUCAAGUAGUUGCCUGGCAUCAGACGGCUACAUCAUGAAUCCAUCAACCGCAGGAAGAAAUAUUUUUUGUUUCUCCGAUUGCAGCAAGAAAGCCAUUGCUGCCUUUCUGCAGUCUCCUCAGUCUUACUGCUUAAAGGACACCAACCAAAACCGCCAUAUCGUUCUUUUACCCGACGACUCUAAGAAGCUCCCUGGAGAACUGAUGAGUGGCGAGCAGUACUGCAAAUUCUACUUUCCAAAACAUCCACAAGUGACCUAUAUCAAGUGGGACUCGGAUCUCCGGAAAUGCAAGUUUCGCUGCAAAUUGGGUGUAAAAGCAAUGGGACACCAAAUUAUGCCAUUAGAACUGCAAUAGAUGGAACUCCUUGUGACCGGCAUAAACCCAAGAUGAAAUGCAAGAACACCCUCUGUGUGGAACAGUAGGUAAUCAGUGGCAUUACAACACAAACAACUAAUGUGUCCUCUCGCCUAAAAUUAGAAAAGCCCUCAGAUACUCACUACCGUACCCUGGAAUGAUGAGAGGUUGACACAUUGUUUUGAAAUCUGCGCUACCAAGGCGUCAAGUAUUGGAAGACUUAAAUCCCUGGAAGGUAUCUGCUUUAUCCCACAAUUUAUGUGAGAAACUCCGCGUAGAUAAUCCACACAUUUUUGCAAAUAUAAACGUAUGCAUCGUUUAUCACUGCGGCACGUUUUUCAAGGCAUUGUUAUCUGGCAUGGAGCAUUUUAAAGAAAUGUUUUAAACCGUGGCUGCCUCUAAAUUUUCCGCCAUAUACAGCACGGCCCCUAUGUUCUCAUAAAAAGUUCAACAAAAGGUUUUGUUACGCACUCUUAUGAAACUCGCAUUAUUAGCGGCAGAGUAUGUCCGCCUAGACAUACAACGCCUCCGCGGAAACAUCACAAGAAAAUCUG